Molecule: ribosomal RNA, 417 nt
Filed under: uncultured bacterium
Lineage: Bacteria
Description: bacterial SSU rRNA
Rfam family: Bacterial small subunit ribosomal RNA
Source: RNAcentral
UAUUGCGCAAUGGACGAAAGUCUGACGCAGCCAUGCCGCGUGCAGGAUGACGGCCCUACGGGUUGUAAACUGCUUUUGUACAGGAAGAACCUCCCGCACGUGUGCGGGACUGACGGUACUGUAGGAAUAAGCAUCGGCUAACUCCGUGCCAGCAGCCGCGGUAAUACGGAGGAUGCAAGCGUUAUCCGGAUUUAUUGGGUUUAAAGGGUGCGUAGGCGGAAUGAUAAGUCAGUGGUGAAAUCUUGCAGCUUAACUGUAAAAUUGCCAUUGAUACUGUUGCUCUUGAGUACGGUUGAGGUAGGCGGAAUGUGUAAUGUAGCGGUGAAAUGCUUAGAUAUUACACAGAACACCGAUUGCGUAGGCAGCUUACUAAGCCGCAACUGACGCUGAGGCACGAAAGCGCGGGGAUCGAACAGG